This 492-nucleotide ribosomal RNA is filed under the name uncultured bacterium. RNAcentral's name for it is "partial 16S ribosomal RNA". It matches the Rfam family "Bacterial small subunit ribosomal RNA", at positions 29 to 507 of the family's 1533-position model. The record is from RNAcentral.
AGUGAACGCUGGCGGUAGGCCUAACACAUGCAAGUCGAACGGCAGCACAGUAAGAGCUUGCUCUUACGGGUGGCGAGUGGCGGACGGGUGAGGAAUACAUCGGAAUCUACUUUUUCGUGGGGGAUAACGUAGGGAAACUUACGCUAAUACCGCAUACGACCUACGGGUGAAGGCAGGGGAUCUUCGGACCUUGCGCGAUUGAAUGAGCCGAUGUCGGAUUAGCUAGUUGGCGGGGUAAAGGCCCACCAAGGCGACGAUCCGUAGCUGGUCUGAGAGGAUGAUCAGCCACACUGGAACUGAGACACGGUCCAGACUCCUACGGGAGGCAGCAGUGGGGAAUAGUGGACAAUGGGCGCAAGCCUGAUCCAGCCAUACCGCGUGGGUGAAGAAGGCCUUCGGGUUGUAAAGCCCUUUUGCUGGGAAAGAAAAGCAGCAGGUUAAUACCCCGCUGUUCUGACGGUACCCAAAGAAUAAGCACCGGCUAACUUCGUG